This 468-nucleotide ribosomal RNA is filed under the name uncultured bacterium. Its description in RNAcentral is "partial 16S ribosomal RNA". It matches the Rfam family "Bacterial small subunit ribosomal RNA", at positions 28 to 507 of the family's 1533-position model. The record is from RNAcentral.
GACGAACGCUGGCGGCGUGCUUAACACAUGCAAGUCGAACGGAAAGGCCCUGCUUUUGUGGGGUGCUCGAGUGGCGAACGGGUGAGUAACACGUGAGUAACCUGCCCUUGACUUUGGGAUAACUUCAGGAAACUGGGGCUAAUACCGGAUAGGAUCUCCUGCUGCAUGGUGGGGGUUGGAAAGUUUCGGCGGUUGGGGAUGGACUCGCGGCUUAUCAGCUUGUUGGUGGGGUAGUGGCUUACCAAGGCUUUGACGGGUAGCCGGCCUGAGAGGGUGACCGGCCACAUUAGUACUGAGAGACGGACCAGACUCCAACGGGAGGCAGCAGGGGGGAAUAUUGCACAAUGGGCGGAAGCCUGAUGCAGCGACGCCGCGUGCGGGAAGACGGCCUUCGGGUUGAAAACCGCUUUCGCCUGUGACGAAGCGUGAGUGACGGUAAUGGGUAAAGAAGCACCGGCUAACUACGUG